CCACCCACCCCCAGCUCCCUGCUGGCAGAGCUGACCCUUUCCUGCUCCCCAGGACAGUCUUGUGGCCAUCCAGGCUUUACUGGGAUGCUCACAGAUGGCCUGGCUUCUUUCUAAAGAAGCAUCAGUUGCUUUUAUCCCUGCCAGUGAGGUGAGAACUGCUGAGAUCAGCCCUGGUACAGCAGAGAGCACCUUCCUCCACCUCCUUCACUGGUGAGGGAGAGCCUGUUAGAUGGACUUCCAACCAAGCAACCAGCAGCCAAAGUGACACAUUCCAGAGGAUAAAUUUUAACAGAAACAGCACCAGAUUUGUGCUUAUUUUCUCAUUUUCAUACCAAACCCUGCAAAGACAGGGAUUUCAAUAACAAAACCAGCUCCUGGUUCCUUUUGUUGCCUACCUGCCUCUCCAGGGGGGAUGUGGAGUUCAAGUCCAUUCCAUGUGGCUGGAGAGAAGGAGAGUUUUGUUCAAGGUGCUGUUUUGCAGAGGAUAACCUACCUGUGAGGGGCUGGCAGGAAUAACCUCGCUGGAGAAAGGAGAAAGGGAUCCCCACAAUCUGGGGGUGGGUUGUUGCUCCUGAGCGCUUUUGUGGGCAGAGCAAGGACAAACCACACCGUGGGAGACUCAGCCCUGAAAAAGAAGAGAAAAUUAAUUUGUUUUAUGGUCAAAAUCCAAGAAAAUAUUGCCUUUUAUAUACCCUUGGAACUCUUCUAGAUCAAGUACCUUGUCAUCCUCUUAACAUACACACACACAGAGAGAAGAUAUCUGCUGAUUAAUAGCCUGGAUCCAUUUUAGUGGAUCCCUGGUCAGCUGUGCAAUAUGUAUUUCUACUCAAAACCAGAAUUUGACUCCUCUAAGCAACCUAUUUCCAUCA
Molecule: long non-coding RNA, 869 nt
Organism: Pseudopipra pipra
Lineage: Eukaryota; Metazoa; Chordata; Aves; Passeriformes; Pipridae
Exons: 3
Source: RefSeq, a predicted model, not a curated record